This 474-nucleotide ribosomal RNA is filed under the name uncultured bacterium. RNAcentral's name for it is "partial 16S ribosomal RNA". It matches the Rfam family "Bacterial small subunit ribosomal RNA", at positions 28 to 507 of the family's 1533-position model. The record is from RNAcentral.
GAUGAACGCUAGCGGCAGGCCUAACACAUGCAAGUCGAGGGAGGAGCUUUCGGGCUUCGACCGGCGUACGGGUGCGUAACGCGUAUACAAUCUGCCUUUCACAUAGGGAUAGCCCGAAGAAAUUUGGAUUAAUACCUAAUGGUAUAUAGGAGUGGCAUCACAUUUAUAUUAAAGCUGAGGCGGUGAAAGAUGAGUAUGCGUUCUAUUAGCUAGUUGGAGAGGUAACGGCUCCCCAAGGCGACGAUAGAUAGGGGUUCUGAGAGGGAUAUCCCCCACACUGGUACUGAGAUACGGACCAGACUCCUACGGGAGGCAGCAGUGAGGAAUAUUGGACAAUGGUCGGAAGACUGAUCCAGCCAUGCCGCGUGCAGGAAGACGGCCUUAUGGGUUGUAAACUGCUUUUGCAGGGGAAGAAUAAGGACUACGAGUAGUUUGAUGACGGUACUCUGCGAAUAAGCAUCGGCUAACUCCGUG